RNAcentral lists this ribosomal RNA (271 nucleotides) under uncultured bacterium. Its description in RNAcentral is "partial 16S ribosomal RNA". It matches the Rfam family "Bacterial small subunit ribosomal RNA", at positions 524 to 794 of the family's 1533-position model. The record is from RNAcentral.
UACAGAGGGGGCAAGCGUUAUUCGGAAUUAUUGGGCGUAAAGGGCGCGUAGGCGGUUUUUUAAGUCGGAUGUGUAAUCCCCGGGCUUAACCUGGGAACUGCAUCCGAGACUGGAAGACUAGAGUACUGGAGAGGGUGGUGGAAUUCCUCGUGUAGCGGUGAAAUGCGUAGAUAUCGGGAAGAACACCAGUGGCGAAGGCGGCUCUCUGGACCAUUACUGACGCUGAGACGCGAAAGCGUGGGUAGCAAACAGGAUUAGAUACCCUAGUAGU